GACGUAGGAGGCGAGCGUUGUCCGGAUUCAUUGGGCGUAAAGCGCGUGUAGGCGGCUUUGCAAGUCGGGUGUGAAAGCCCUCAGCUCAACUGAGGAAGUGCGCCCGAAACUGCAGAGCUUGAGUGCCGGAGAGGGUGGCGGAAUUCCCCAAGUAGAGGUGAAAUUCGUAGAUAUGGGGAGGAACACCGGUGGCGAAGGCGGCCACCUGGACGGUAACUGACGCUGAGACGCGAAAGCGUGGGUAGCAAACAGG
Molecule: ribosomal RNA, 253 nt
Filed under: uncultured bacterium
Lineage: Bacteria
Description: partial 16S ribosomal RNA
Rfam family: Bacterial small subunit ribosomal RNA
Source: RNAcentral